Molecule: ribosomal RNA, 492 nt
Filed under: uncultured bacterium
Lineage: Bacteria
Description: partial 16S ribosomal RNA
Rfam family: Bacterial small subunit ribosomal RNA
Source: RNAcentral
GAUGAACGCUAGCUACAGGCUUAACACAUGCAAGUCGAGGGGAAACGACAUCGCAAGCUUGCUUUUGAUGGGCGUCGACCGGCGCACGGGUGAGUAACGCGUAUCCAACCUGCCCAUCACUUGGGAAUAACCUUGCGAAAGUAAGACUAAUACCCAAUGACAUCCCACGAAGACAUCUGAAUGGGAUUAAAGAUUUAUCGGUGAUGGAUGGGGAUGCGUCUGAUUAGCUUGUUGGCGGGGUAACGGCCCACCGAGGCAACGAUCAGUAGGGGUUCUGAGAGGAAGGUCCCCCAGAUUGGAACUGAGACACGGUCCAAACUCGUACGGGAGGCAGCAGUGAGGAAUAUUGGUCAAUGGGCGUGAGCCUGACCCAGCCAAGUAGCGUGCAGGAUGACGGCCCUAGGGGUUGUAAACUGCUUUUAUAAGGGAAUAAAGUGGGUCUCGUGAGACUUUUUGCAUGUACCUUAUGAAUAAGGACCGGCUAAUUCCGUG